AAAGCCCAGCAGCUCCCACAACUUCCUUGGUCUUUGACACCGACGACGGCACCUUCCUUUCUCCAAUCAACGGAAUCCGGCAAAGAAUCGCCGACACGUGGAGUGUAGCGAUCACUAAUUUUACGCAACUUGUUCCUUCUAAUACCACUCAAAGCACCUAAAUACAUGGACCGGUACUCCUCAUUGGUAAGAUCAGCAAACCGGUUCAAUCCGACCCUGUAGGUCCGAUUCUCCGAGUUAUGCUCAUCAAUGAAUCUUAGAUUAUCUUUAAAAACCUCAAACCUCCUCUCCUUCUCUCCCAAAGAAUUAUACGCCUUUCCGUGCUUCACCAGCCAGUCCUCGUAGAUAGCCAUGACCUCGUCAUCGGUCCUCCAGCUGGACUUGGUACCAUGACUUUGAUCAUAGGAUAUGAUCGACAGGUCGGAGGCAGAGGACAAGGUGGAAGCGAAGAACAAGAGCAUGAACAUAGCUGCCGAUGAUCUGAACAGGGCCAUCUUGGUUGUUCCGGAGAGGUGGAUUGGUAAAGACCGGUUUGUGGGGGUUGUGGGAAGGGUAGUGGGUUUAUAAAGACAAUGUUGGGCUGUAUUGAUAAAAUCCAUGGGAGGAUUUGAUAAUUAAAUUAAGAUUUUUUUUUUAAUUUGGGAA
RNAcentral lists this unclassified non-coding RNA (645 nucleotides) under Hevea brasiliensis (rubber tree). The record is from RNAcentral. Lineage: Eukaryota; Viridiplantae; Streptophyta; Magnoliopsida; Malpighiales; Euphorbiaceae.